AUGUAGGUCGCCAAGACCAACCCGGCUGUAUCUUCCCUGCCCAACGGCGACUGCGGGCCGCGCCAGGAUGCCGCAGGGAGGGAACCGGGUCACUGUGGUGCUGGGCGCGCAAUGGGGCGACGAAGGCAAGGGGAAGGUGGUGGAUCUGCUGGCUCAGGACGCCGACAUCGUGUGCCGCUGCCAGGGAGGAAAUAAUGCUGGUCAUACAGUUGUUGUAGAUUCUGUGGAAUAUGAUUUUCAUCUUCUGCCCAGUGGAAUAAUUAACCCGAAUGUCACUGCAUUCAUUGGAAAUGGUGUGGUAAUUCACCUACCUGGGUUGUUUGAAGAAGCAGAAAAAAACGUUCAAAAAGGAAAAGGUCUAGAAGGCUGGGAAAAAAGGCUCAUUAUAUCUGACAGAGCUCACACUGUAUUUGAUUUUCAUCAAGCAGCUGAUGGUAUCCAGGAACAACAGAGACAAGAACAGGCAGAAAAAAACUUGGGUACCACAAAAAGGGGCAUUGGCCCAGUUUACUCUUCCAAAGCUGCUCGGAGUGGACUUCGGAUGUGUGAUCUUGUUUCUGACUUUGAUGGCUUCUCUGAGAGGUUCAAAGUUCUAGCUAAUCAAUACAAAUCUAUAUACCCUACUUUGGAAAUAGACAUUGAAGGUGAAUUACAAAAACUCAAGGGUUAUAUGGAAAGGAUUAAACCAAUGGUGAAAGAUGGAGUUUACUUCCUGUAUGAGGCUCUCCAUGGACCAGCAAAGAAAAUCUUGGUAGAAGGAGCAAAUGCAGCUUUAUUGGAUAUUGAUUUUGGGACUUACCCUUUUGUAACCUCCUCGAACUGUACUGUUGGAGGUGUCUGCAUAGGUCUGGGCAUGCCCCCUCAAAACGUUGGAGAAGUGUACGGAGUUGUGAAAGCGUACACCACUGGGGUUGGCAUCGGUGCC
Octodon degus (degu) is the source of this 925-nucleotide RNA transcript. It is a transcript of the gene named adenylosuccinate synthetase isozyme 2-like, with no coding region annotated. The record is from RefSeq and is a predicted model, not a curated record. The transcript has a single exon. Lineage: Eukaryota; Metazoa; Chordata; Mammalia; Rodentia; Octodontidae.